UAUGCACUCUACUGUAAGUCGCUCUGGAUAAGAACGUCUGCUAAAUGACUUAAA
Salmo salar (Atlantic salmon) is the source of this 54-nucleotide non-coding RNA. NCBI's taxonomy places the organism in Eukaryota, Metazoa, Chordata, Actinopteri, Salmoniformes, Salmonidae. The record is from Rfam.